CUACGAGGACGAACGCUGGCGGCGUGCCUAAUACAUGCAAGUCGAACGAACGGAUAAAAGAGCUUGCUCUUUUGAAGUUAGUGGCGGACGGGUGAGUAACACGUGGGUAACCUGCCUCACAGCUGGGGAUAACAUCGAGAAAUCGAUGCUAAUACCGAAUGUGCUGAACAUCAUAAGAUGUUCAAGUGAAAGACGGUUUCGGCUGUCACUGUGAGAUGGACCCGCGCUGGAUUAGCUAGUUGGUAAGGUAAUGGCUUACCAAGGCGACGAUCCAUAGCCGACCUGAGAGGGUGAUCGGCCACAUUGGGACUGAGACACGGCCCAAACUCCUACGGGAGGCAGCAGUAGGGAAUCUUCGGCAAUGGACGAAAGUCUGACCGAGCAACGCCGCGUGAGCGAAGAAGGCCUUCGGGUCGUAAAGCUCUGUUGUUAGAGAAGAACAUGGGUGAGAGUAACUGUUCACCCCUUGACGGUAUCUAACCAGAAAGCCACGGCUAACUACGUG
RNAcentral lists this ribosomal RNA (505 nucleotides) under uncultured bacterium. RNAcentral's name for it is "bacterial SSU rRNA". It matches the Rfam family "Bacterial small subunit ribosomal RNA", at positions 26 to 507 of the family's 1533-position model. The record is from RNAcentral.